GGGUUGUGAGGUUAAGCGACUAAGCGUACACGGUGGAUGCCCUGGCAGUCAGAGGCGAUGAAGGGCGUGCUAAUCUGCGAUAAGCGCCGGUAAGGUGAUAUGAACCGUUAUAACCGGCGAUACCCGAAUGGGGAAACCCAGUGUGACUCGUCACACUAUCAUUAACUGAAUCCAUAGGUUAAUGAGGCGAACCGGGGGAACUG
This 203-nucleotide ribosomal RNA is filed under the name Salmonella enterica subsp. enterica serovar Enteritidis. RNAcentral describes it as "partial 23S ribosomal RNA". It matches the Rfam family "Bacterial large subunit ribosomal RNA", at positions 1 to 195 of the family's 2925-position model. Lineage: Bacteria; Pseudomonadati; Pseudomonadota; Gammaproteobacteria; Enterobacterales; Enterobacteriaceae. The record is from RNAcentral.